This 69-nucleotide transfer RNA is filed under the name Birgus latro. RNAcentral describes it as "tRNA-Tyr". It matches the Rfam family "tRNA". Rfam says of the family: Transfer RNA (tRNA) molecules are approximately 80 nucleotides in length. Their secondary structure includes four short double-helical elements and three loops (D, anti-codon, and T loops). Further hydrogen bonds mediate the characteristic L-shaped molecular structure. tRNAs have two regions of fundamental functional importance: the anti-codon, which is responsible for specific mRNA codon recognition, and the 3' end, to which the tRNAs corresponding amino acid is attached (by aminoacyl-tRNA synthetases). tRNAs cope with the degeneracy of the genetic code in two manners: having more than one tRNA (with a specific anti-codon) for a particular amino acid; and 'wobble' base-pairing, i.e. permitting non-standard base-pairing at the 3rd anti-codon position. The record is from RNAcentral. Lineage: Eukaryota; Metazoa; Arthropoda; Malacostraca; Decapoda; Coenobitidae.
AAUGAAGUGGCCGAAACUUGAAGGUAUUAGACUGUAAAUCUAAAAGUGAGUAUUACUACUCCUUCAUUA